UUGUUGCAGUUAAAAAGCUCGUAGUUGGAUUUCGGAGUGGGCCAGUUGGUCCGCCGCAAGGUGUGUUACUGACUGGUUUGCUCUUCUGCGCAAAGACUGCGUGUGCUCUUUGUUGAGUGUGCGUAGGAUUUACGUCGUUUACUUUGAAAAAAUUAGAGUGUUCAAAGCAGGCUAUUGCUUGAAUACAUGAGCAUGGAAUAAUGGAAUAGGACUUUGGUCCCAUU
This 224-nucleotide ribosomal RNA is filed under the name uncultured marine eukaryote. Its description in RNAcentral is "partial 18S ribosomal RNA". It matches the Rfam family "Eukaryotic small subunit ribosomal RNA", at positions 610 to 840 of the family's 1831-position model. The record is from RNAcentral.